This 670-nucleotide long non-coding RNA is filed under the name Homo sapiens (human). Its description in RNAcentral is "long non-coding RNA NONHSAT202205.1". Lineage: Eukaryota; Metazoa; Chordata; Mammalia; Primates; Hominidae. The record is from RNAcentral.
GUAGGCAGCUUCAGUCCUGGUAUGGGCUGUAGCAAGUACUGCUGCUGCUGUCCAUCCCUUCUGCCCACGAUGGACAAGUUUAUUGUGAAAUCAGGAGGUUUCAUAGGGAGCCACACAGAGGCAACCAUGGUCCAUCUUGUCACUGGGAUCCUAUUUAGGAUCAUUCACAGGGGGCAGAAGAAAAUGGAAAACAAAGACAAACAAACCAAAGAAGGCGGAUGAAGUAGAAGCCAUUCAUUCUUUCCAUGAACAUUGGCCCUAUAUCCUGAAGGUGGAUCCAAUGAAAAAAGAGAAGCAGCAAGGGUGGCUUCUGUUUCCCUGGCUGGACUCUGAGUAAUAUAGCAGCAAUAAUUUCCCAAGGGAAAGGAGGAAGACGGGUUGGCUCCAAUGAAGACACUUAUGAUGUGAAGAGUUCCCGUAACAGUUCACCAUCUCUGGGGCAGUUAUACAACAGGGAUCCCUGACUUCUUCAGAACCGAGAGUUCAAAUCAGGACUAUCUGGUGAUGAAUCUAUCCACUAGAAGCUGGUAUGAAGAGUCAGGUCACUAGAAAACAGAAUAUCAUGUGAUUGUGUUUGACUGCACAACUGGUCUCUAUCAAUAUCUAUGCCUGAAGAGGAAGAAUGUUUGCCUAGUAAGGCCAUUAAUAUUGGCAAAUCUUGCAUAGACAC